UGAACGCUGGCGGCGUGCCUAACACAUGCAAGUCGAACGGAGAUACGAUGUGAGCGAGAGGUGCUUGCACUGAUUAAUCUUUCGUAUCUUAGUGGCGGACGGGUGAGUAACGCGUGGGUAACCUGCCUUAUACCGGGGGAUAACACUUAGAAAUAGGUGCUAAUACCGCAUAAGCGCACGGUGUCGCAUGACACAGUGUGAAAAACUCCGGUGGUAUAAGAUGGACCCGCGUCUGAUUAGCCAGUUGGCAGGGUAACGGCCUACCAAAGCGACGAUCAGUAGCCGGCCUGAGAGGGUGAACGGCCACAUUGGGACUGAGACACGGCCCAAACUCCUACGGGAGGCAGCAGUGGGGAAUAUUGCACAAUGGGGGAAACCCUGAUGCAGCGACGCCGCGUGAGUGAAGAAGUAUUUCGGUAUGUAAAGCUCUAUCAGCAGGGAAGAAGAAAUGACGGUACCUGACUAAGAAGCCCCGGCUAACUACGUG
This 487-nucleotide ribosomal RNA is filed under the name uncultured bacterium. RNAcentral describes it as "bacterial SSU rRNA". It matches the Rfam family "Bacterial small subunit ribosomal RNA", at positions 30 to 507 of the family's 1533-position model. The record is from RNAcentral.